AUGUCUUGCUGGAGAUCCCUGUAUAGCUGAGGUCUUCUAGAGGUAAGCAGCUCUUUUCCUUUAUUUCUGCAUGUGUGGUUGCUGUAUUUGGACUUGUUCUCAUUUGCUGUAGCUGAAGACUUAACCACCCCACUACUAUCAUGGUGCUUUCCAUUGCAUUGCAGCAUAUGUAGAGGAAUUACUUGGAAAAUGUCUGAUCAUCCAAACCGAUUGCAGUAGGUUUGAAUUAUAGAAUGAUAAGCAACAAGUUCACCUCAAACCCUCAGGCUAAGAAGUUAUAAUUAGCGCAUGCACCAUAAAACUAGCCCUUAAUUAAAUAAGCUUCAGAAUGGAGGAGGUUUUAUGAAGUCCCUCCCUUGCUUAUACAAUGUGGAGUGUGUGGAGGGCUUCCGUGGGGGGACACAGCAAUUCUCAAGCACUGUGAAGCAUUAAACAGAGUUUGAUGGAUGGUUUUGAGCAUGAGCAGCCAGGAGUGAGCUGGGCAGGUUGCUUAUGCUGGUGUUCAGCAGCAUUGCUGGCCCUGUGCUCCACAAGGGCCAACCAAGAGGCUCUCAGCACACCUCCAAAGAGCCCAGCAAUAUGGCCUCUACCUGUUGCCUGCCUUGGAGCAGUCUGAGUUUGUUCAUGCAAAGCAUAUGUUGAGGUACUGAGUGUGGAAAUGUCACCUCUCACAGAUGUCUCUCCCUUGGGGCUUUGAGAAGGCUGUGGGAGAGAGGACAUAUGGCACUGAGCUCAAGGCGCUCACAUGGGCUCUGGUGGGGAUGGGAAAGGGGAGUAACCAACUGAGCCCCAUGGCUCUGCCCAUGGCACCUGAACCCAGCGAGGCAGGGAAAGUGUUCAGUGCUGGGUAUUGGAACAGCCAAUGAACAAUUCCUCCUUGUGUGCUUCUGGAAUAUGCAAUGAAAAGUGCAUUCUCACAAUAUUGUAUUCCACCUGAGAGAAGGAGGAGGUCUGGCAGGUCUCACACUGCUGGUAGCUUCCGUUCUGUCUCUGGCAGGGCUCAGGGAAGCAUAAGUCCCACUGUGGGCUGCCUCUGAGGGCUGCAGAAUCAGGAGAGGCUCACAAGUGAGAGGUGGCACUGUGCCUUAGUUGGUCAGGAGGAGUCGGGAAGGUGGGCAUCACCAGUAGCUGGCAUAGCUAGGAAAGAAAUGCUACUAUUUCUCCUUAGCAUCCUAAAUUAUCCACAGACGCCAUCGCAGUAAUACUCCAUAAAUACCUCUGUUCUCACAGCCUCCCUCCCAGCAGCACUGCCCACCAGAAGCCCACUCCUCUCUGCAGAGAGCACACGCCAUCCACCAGCACUGCCUUUCAGCUGCAAGAAAUGGCACGACUAAAAAGCUGCAGUGAUGUGACAGCAGCCGGGGGUUACGGCCACCCGAUAAUCAUUGCUUUACUCAAAGGAAAAAGGAAAAAGUGAUAUAAAAAUCCUGCCAGCCUAUUUCUGUGACAUUCCCCUUCUGUGGAGGGCAGCAAUCGAUGCUGAGGAUCUGCACAACAAUCAGUUCCUGUAGGAUUGGGGGGAUCUCUUCGCUUCUGCACUGAAUGCUGAGUGAGCCUAUAAAUCCAGUUAGUCACACUUGCUGGAUUACAUUGGACCUUGCACUUAUGCUUUUAUUAACAAGAUUGUUUACUAUAUAAGAAGCUUUAUAUAACUCUGAAUCAGGCGUGAUUUGUAUAACGGCACAGAUGACGUGCAUUGCCAGCCAUCAGUUCUCCCUGUGCUCG
Long non-coding RNA from Gallus gallus (chicken), 1725 nucleotides. The record is from Ensembl. Lineage: Eukaryota; Metazoa; Chordata; Aves; Galliformes; Phasianidae.